Homarus americanus (American lobster) is the source of this 3952-nucleotide RNA transcript. RefSeq lists it as uncharacterized. The transcript is spliced from 7 exons. Lineage: Eukaryota; Metazoa; Arthropoda; Malacostraca; Decapoda; Nephropidae. The record is from RefSeq and is a predicted model, not a curated record.
UGGUUUAUGGUUCAUCAUGAUUAACAUAGCAUCUUCAGUAAUAGAGAAAAAUACAAUACAGUACUGUAUGUAAUUUGUAAUAUGACUUGAAAAUAAAAGGAUAAGCUGCAUCAGGUUAUUUACUCAAGAUGUGUUAUUGUGAGAGCUUUCAGCAAACUGGCUUACAACAGGGUCACUAUAACACAGUGUAUAGUAAUUGAUAUGAAGUUACCUUUCUAAAAACGUUAUUUACUACCUGUGAGUGUUAUAUGAUGACUCAGUUUGGCUACUUGUACACUUAGACAAAUGAUUAAUGAAUAAACCAGGGUAUAUGCUGAUACAUAAAACUUUACACUACAAUAUUGCUUAUCAAGUGAUGGUAAAUACACUACAAUAGUAUUUAUUAAGUGGUGAUAAAUACACUACAAUAGUAUUUAAGCAGUGUUGUACGUUGACGCCGUUAAUUUAACGCCAUCAAUGGACGGCGGCAACUUUUUGUUAACGCUGACGCCAUAAAUUUUUGGGGCAGGUGACGCAGUCAACUUUUCACCCGAGCGGAGCGUCAAUUUGUUCGUCAACUUGUAAAAUUUUUUCUUUUUCCAAGUUCGAUUUUCAAUUAUCUUGCUAUAAAGACGACCGGGAGAAAUUUUGCCACGCCCACCAGCCGCGCACCUGCGCAGCUUUCUACAGAUUUGAAUUUUCAAGUUUGAACCAGAAUUGUACUUGCUUCCUGACCGUUAGCAUUGUGGUGUGAAAAUGUGCGACCGAAAACAUGAUUCACAACGGAGCCGGCGGCGAGAGGGGCGCUGUUGCACCCGGGACAGUGCAGAGCAGGGGCACUGGGGCAGUGUGGUGAGGAGCGCGAGGGGUAGUGUGUGUUUGCGCAGAGUGGUGGCAAGGCAGCGUGUUGAGUGUGCAGAAGAGGGUAGUGACUGUGUCAAUGGUGACCAGUGGUGAUCAAGCGAGUAACGCCAGCCUCCAGAUCCAGGCUAAUACCUCCAGCUCUGCCACAAGUGAGAUGUCCCAAUCCUCCCGGGACAAGGAAGGGCGACAGGGGACCGGGAAUGUCCAGCCAAAUCGAGGUCCUUGGCCCUACAUCAGCAAGUACUUCAAGUAUGUCUCCUUCAAGGGGGACACCUUGUACUGCCAGUGCCAGAUGUGUCUGCCCGCAAAGAAGAUGUUCUCUUGCACCGAGAAGUCGCAGAAUGGCCUGAAAAGUCACUACCAGCACAUUCCUGCCUCCUGCUUUAAGGAAUUCAAGUACUGUAUGGCCGAAGGCAGCAAGGCAUCCAGGUCGAAGAAGCGACCCCUUGAGCAAGAAGGCCAGAACAAGAGGAAGAGGAAGGAGUUGGUGCAGCCUACCUUGACGGCCGCCCUGGCAGGGCCGUCGAAGUACAGCCAGUCUUUCAUAGACGAUACGGUAAUUUAACUAUUUAAGUUUAUUUAUUAUUUUUUUCUACACAGUUUUUAAUCAAUCCUUCAUUCAUUGGGAAGCAUUUCAUGCAGUUGACUACUGAAUUCAGUGAAUUGAUGUCAAGACUGAAAAUUCAAUAAUUUUAUUAAAAUCUAAACUAUUUAAAUGUAACAAUUUGUGAUUUUAAAUUGAUACAUUCCUUCUGUUCUAACAGAUCAUCGACUUCGUCAUAGAAGACAUGCUGUCGAUGAGCGUGGUGGAGUCACGUGCCUUCAACGAGCUUGUCAACCUUAUACCUGGCCACAACAAGAACUCUAUGAUCAGAAGAAAAGUCAUUAAGCGUAUUGAAGACAGUUAUGAGCUUCAAAAGGAGCAGCUCUAAAACACCCUGAGCAAUUUGCCUUGUGUUGCCACAACUGCCGACGCUUGGACAUGCAGAAACAGGUCUUACUUGGGCACAACAGUCCACUGGAUUGACCCCGAGGCCUUAAAAAGGCAGCAAAGGGUGUUGGCCUAUCAACGUUUGCUGGGCAGACACACAUACGACCACUUAGCCAAGACCAUCCAUGACAUCCAUUUCAUUUUUGGCAUUACCAACAACGUCGUCAGCACCACCACAGACAACGGCACCAAUUUCGUCAAGGCAUUCAGUGUCUUUGGCGAGCCUGAUGAAGACUGGGUACUGGUAGAGGACCCCCCUCAGGUGGAGCCUGACGACGAAGGCGAAUCAGACGACCAUGUCGAGGUGGAUGAUGUGGCAGCUAUUCUGGCCAAUGGAGAGGAGACUCUCUAUGAGCUGCCCAAGCACUUGAGGUACACCGCCCACACCCUGAACCUUGUGGCCACCACUGACGCCGAGAAGGCCUUCUCCGACAACAACUACAAGGCCAACCAUUCUGCCUUUGGCAAGGCUCUCUCUCUUUGGAACAAGCAGCAUAGGAGUUCCCAAGCCUCAGACAUCAUGAGUCAGGAGGUUGGGAAGCUGCUUGUCGAGCCCAACGCCACCAGGUGAAACUCGGUGUACGACGCGGUCGUCAGGCUGGUCAACAUGUUUGACAACAAAGAGACGGACCUUCAGAAUGCAUGUCGAAAACUGGAAAUUCAUUUCUUUACAACAUACGACAUUGCAUUCUUAAGGGAGUACAAAGAUGUCAUGGGUCCCAUUGCCGUCGGUUUGAAUUUCCUGCAAGGGGAGGAAAUGAUCUACUUGGGCUGCCUGUUGCCCACGUUCGCCAGUGUCCUCAACAGUCUCGCGGCAAAGGAGGUGGACAAUUACCUUGAGUUUGGCUACCUCUUCCACGACAUGGACUGCACCCCAACUACAGGCUGUCACGCUGGCUCAUCAACAUUAAUGCAGAGGAAGUCAGGAAAAAGGCCACCAACCAGCUGUCCAGGUUGGUGGAGAAGUCCGUGCACGAGACUGAGAGCAGCAGCAGCAGUGAGGGAGACGACAAAGACCAUGACGUGGAGGACGAAUUGUCCCAGACCCGACCCUGUACGAGACCCCCUGCACGAAUGAAAAAGACAGUGACCUUUUCAAGCGUUUCCUGGGGGAGAAACCUUUGAAAAAAACUUUUGACAAGGACACCUUCCCCAACAAGGCCAUGAGGGAGCUGUUCAUCAAAUACAACACCCCCAUCCCCUCUAGUGCUGCCGUGGAGCUCAUGUUCUCCAUGGGCAAGUACGUCUUGAAGCCCAAGCGCAGCAGAAUGAGCGACAAGCAUUUUGAGUUGCUAAUAUUCUUGAGGGGGGAACAAAUGAAUAAUUAAAAUUAUAUAAUAUAAAUCAUAAUAAAUUAUUAAAAAUGAAUGAAUAUUUUUUUAUUUUGCAUAUGUUACUCCCAUACACAGGAGAAUAUGCAUUUUGGGGCUGCAUUUGUACGUCACUGAAAACUCGUUGACGCUAGGUGUUGACGCUGACGCUACCAGCGUCAAUUUAUUAAUCUUUUUCGCCAACACUGAUGGCAUCAAAUUUCUCGGCGGUUUACGCUGACAGCGCCACUUUUUUCUUGUUGACGAGUACAACACUGUAUUUAAGUGAUGAUAAAUUCACAUCUGUACUGUACUAUUUUACUAAGUGUUGAAGACAGACAUUGUGGUAAGCAAAUCAGCUGUUUGCUCUUUGUAAACAUAUGACUCCGUUCAGAGUGGGAUUCUUUAUUUCAGGAAAGCCGAUUCUUUUAGGAUAAUAUUUUAUCACCCUGGCACCAAAUGAUCCUAAAUUAUAUGAGAAUUAUUGUAAAAUUGCAUAAAGAAGUGUUAAAGGAAUCUUGGGGGAAGAAUACCCACCUGUGCUACCCCUCCUCCCCUCUGCUCCCAGAUAAACAUUCGUCUUCCACAUACUUAUUUGUUCUUAUUUUUAUCUUUAUAGUACUGUACAGUAUACAGUUUUCUCUUUAUUCAUAAGACAAAUUCAGUGGUUACUUACAUAUAACACUUUACAGUAAAUAAUAAUCAUCUCGGUGACAACCAGACUUACUGGGGGUAUAUGUCUGAUUUUCAACCCAGAGUUGUAUUUCAUAUUUUUUUUUAUUGUUGAUGUAAUAUUCUUUUAAUAACC